RNAcentral lists this long non-coding RNA (223 nucleotides) under Musa acuminata (dwarf banana). RNAcentral describes it as "long non-coding RNA (MACU_LNC009392)". The record is from RNAcentral. Lineage: Eukaryota; Viridiplantae; Streptophyta; Magnoliopsida; Zingiberales; Musaceae.
UCGGUACAGCUCUAUACUCCCCCGUAAUUGACAGGAGAACACUUUAGAUGUAGCAUCCAGUUUCUUUAUCCACGUUAGGCCAAGUAACUGGCAAAGAUAGGAAGGGGCAAUCCGCUUGUAUAUAAGGUCUUGUAGACAAGGCAACUACACCUAUUGCUACUUUGAACUUCAUUCAACAACUACCUUAGCAAGCUAUAUCUUAUUCUUAUGUACUAGAUGCGGG